UGUUUAGAUCCUACAAGGGUGUUCUGCUAAUG
This 32-nucleotide non-coding RNA is filed under the name Mus musculus (house mouse). The record is from RNAcentral. Lineage: Eukaryota; Metazoa; Chordata; Mammalia; Rodentia; Muridae.